This is a long non-coding RNA of Hemicordylus capensis (graceful crag lizard), 570 nucleotides long. RefSeq lists it as uncharacterized. The record is from RefSeq and is a predicted model, not a curated record. The transcript is spliced from 3 exons. NCBI's taxonomy places the organism in Eukaryota, Metazoa, Chordata, Lepidosauria, Squamata, Cordylidae.
GGGCAGUGGAGAGGCAGCCUCUUCUCCCAGCUGCACUGCAGUUAGGACUCUAUGGCUGCCAGAGCCCUGAUGGUGAGCACGACUGAAAACUGAGGAAAUGUAGUCCUGAGGACCAACCUACAGAAACACUAAAGAGGCCAAUUGUGUUUUCUCUCCUGGCUGGACAAAAAGCAUCUGAAGAAAAGGCGAUGGGGAGAAACUGCAGAAAUGGUGACUUUACAUGCUCUUACGGCAUUCAUGAUUAGAGAUGGAGGACAUCCUACUGGUGCAAGGGAGGAAGAAAGAAAGAUACUUUUAUCUGUGAUAACAGCAUAAUAAUGCCCACUGUCUUUCCUCACUUUAGGAGUUCUAGAAUUACUGUAUUUUUGGAGGGUGUAUUUGAGACUACCGACAGCAAACCCCAUGCUGUCUCUCCAUGGUGCUCCAAGUGAAAUUAUGGUUGCUUUCAAAACACUCCCACCCUACCAAUUAGUCAAUGAUUACUCACAGCGAAAAUUAACUCACAGCUUUAAAUGCCAAAAUGUCAUUCUUUCAUUUAAAUAGAACUAUCUAAUUAGAUUAAAGCACAUA